Molecule: long non-coding RNA, 985 nt
Organism: Oncorhynchus gorbuscha (pink salmon)
Lineage: Eukaryota; Metazoa; Chordata; Actinopteri; Salmoniformes; Salmonidae
Exons: 2
Source: RefSeq, a predicted model, not a curated record
AAAUGCACCCUAAACUCCUUCUCCUUUCUACCUCUCCUCUUAGUGAGGCUGUCUGUGUAUAUGUUCAUCACUGCGUUGCCUUCUAUCAGACUUUUCUGCUACAUUAGACCGCUCUUUCCUUAUUUCUGCCUUUCUAUCCUUGCACCCCCCAAAAGCUGACGCUCCCUAACCUUCGGCCUCGUGCUAUGAAAGUCACCGGGCCAGGCUCGGCUGCAUCUGAAGGUAUUUCAAAGUGAGAUAUCAUACGCCCACCAGAAACAACUGAAGGUGUGACCUCAAUAAAUGGGACGAGCUAAAUGUUGCAUGAAUGCAGUAAUAUUGUUAUCCUGUAGGAGGCAUAGUGUGCUAUGAACAGCUUGUGGACAAAUCUGGUGCUUGCUGGCUGUAACAGCAACUCCAUGUGGAAGUUGUCUGUGUUCCAGUGGAGAUGCUGUUACCUGCAGAGAGCCACCCCCUAGCCAGCUCUGACAUGGAAUCCAUUUUUAGAAUAUCACAGUCCUUAUUUAUUACGGCUGUUCUGAUGUUUCUCCUCUUUCGGUUGAACUCAGUUAUAUCUGCUUUCACCACAUUGUCAUGUAAUUUUUGUUUUGUAUUAUUAAGAACAGUCUCUAGAUCAUUCAAGAGAUAUGGGCUCCUUGUUUUCAAUGACAACAUCAUGUGAAGAUAUGUAUGCCCUCCAAACUUUGGUUUGAAUUCAGAGUAGGGAUGCAUGGGAUGCAUGGUGAUGACCUAUGAAUUGACAGCCAGUGUCUGCAACACAACUGCCUGUCAGUUCUGUAGGCCACUGCUGUGUCUAUCCUACUGAGCACACACAGGGGUUUAGAUGGAGCAAAUUAACUCAUUGAUAUGUUUGAUAAAUUGUCAGAAACCUAUGAUGUAUUUGUGAAACCCCUGAUAAUAUUCUGUUUGGUAUACAUUUGCAAGUUAUUUGAAGACAAUACAAUUGCUUUGUUGCCAACCUUGGAAAUAAAGAUUGAAAACACUC